Molecule: long non-coding RNA, 1206 nt
Organism: Astatotilapia calliptera (eastern happy)
Lineage: Eukaryota; Metazoa; Chordata; Actinopteri; Cichliformes; Cichlidae
Source: Ensembl
CUGCCCCAUAUGUGAACGGAGAAGAGAGAUCAGAUCCGAUAUCGUUGGUUCCCUACCUUGGCCCUCAGUGCUGUCUACCCCUCCAGAAGCUCCAUUCUCCUCCUGUUCUGCAUCGACUUGUCCUUCUGAGCCCAUUUGCUGGCUUGGUACAUCUCCUUGGACUACUCUCACACUCCUUGCUCCUCUCUGCAUGGUUUGAUAAGGAGUGGGGAGAAAAAAAAAAAAAACCCUGAAACUUUUAUCUCAUGCAAAUAGUCAUUUGCAUGCAAGACAGUCCCAUUGUUGUUCAAUAAAUGUGCCUUUUGAAAAUAAUUUUCUAUUCUGUUGUAAUGCAUCAAACGUGUCUUUUGAAUAAUUUGAUUAGCUAAUUAUCUUAUUCACUAGUUAUCUGGUUCAUCAUUUGGUUUUUAAUUGUGUAGUGUAUAUAGCCUUUGUGUCUCAGAUUCUAUCAUUGUAUCCUGAUAUGAAAUAUUGUGAUGAUGCUAAUUCUGAAUGUUGGUUGUUGUGGAAAUGGUUAUUAAAUAAACUAAUCUUAAAUCUCAAAAAAAAAAAAAACCCCCAAAAAAAAACAACUGUGCCUUUUUUGUGUGUGUGUGUGUGUAUUUUUUUUUAAACUGGCUGUAUCCCACUGCUGCCACCAAUUGUCAUGAUCCAAGCCGCCAGGAACACACAGGCACAAAUGUAAUCUUCAAAAAAAUGGGUUUUAUUAUACCCCCAAAAAGGACAAAAUGAUUACAAAAAUUCAAAAUAACAAAAAAUAAAGUUUGUAAGAACCAAGUGGGCCCAUAAAAGAGGUUAACUUAACAGACCGCCACUCAAAAGUCAUUUAACAAAAACAUAACUCAACAAACUGACCUGCCCAAAUGAGAAACAGCUCCAGUUAUAUAGCAAAUGAAUAAACCAUUAUAUACACCAAAGGUGAAAACUAAAGAGAUAACAGAUAACCAUCAUUCAAGAAGAACCCCAUUCCCCCUGCAUGAUCACAAUAGAUGGUCCAGUCCACUUUAUUGGCUUCUGCAUUUAAACCAGCUCCACCCUCAGCCCCCUCUUUCAGCCAAACCAGGAAGGACUGGAGCGGAGGUCAGGUAACUAAGUAUCUCAGUUGUGUGGUUGCAUGCAUCCAUCACAAUUAUAUACAGAGAUUUAUGGUACUGCAAACUAGUGAUGGGCAGAUGAAGCCCCAUGAAGCACUGGAGCUUUUCAUCC